This 354-nucleotide long non-coding RNA is filed under the name Capsella rubella. RNAcentral's name for it is "long non-coding RNA (CRUB_LNC002597)". Lineage: Eukaryota; Viridiplantae; Streptophyta; Magnoliopsida; Brassicales; Brassicaceae. The record is from RNAcentral.
UAAGGAAUAGAUAGUUAACUCACUCAUUAUUAAAGGAAUAGAUAUCACGAUAUCGAACUUAGAUCCUUUGGAUAUAUGCACCAAAGAGGCUAAGGGUUUUGCUGGAUAUACACACUAACAAGAUGAUCUUCUUAGAGAAAAAGUUUUUGAUAAAAAAAAAAAAUGAGUUCUCAAAGAAACUACAAGGGUUUGUCCUCCUCUCCGAGCUAUUUCUCCUCAGCUUCUCUCCUAACUACGAGCUCAGCUUCUCCAAGUUCCACGUCCGUUUCAUGCUCCAUAUCCUUAGUGCUAUCCAUGAUCAUAUCAAGCAUAUAAUGCCAUUUUGGGAGACUGAAGGAAAGUGGUAGGCCAACC